UACGGAGGGAGCUAGCGUUAUUCGGAAUUACUGGGCGUAAAGCGCACGUAGGCGGCUUUGUAAGUAAGAGGUGAAAGCCCAGAGCUCAACUCUGGAAUUGCCUUUUAGACUGCAUCGCUUGAAUCAUGGAGAGGUCAGUGGAAUUCCGAGUGUAGAGGUGAAAUUCGUAGAUAUUCGGAAGAACACCAGUGGCGAAGGCGACUAACUGGACAUGUAUUGACGCUGAGGUGCGAAAGCGUGGGGAGCAAACAGG
RNAcentral lists this ribosomal RNA (253 nucleotides) under uncultured bacterium. Its description in RNAcentral is "partial 16S ribosomal RNA". It matches the Rfam family "Bacterial small subunit ribosomal RNA", at positions 524 to 776 of the family's 1533-position model. The record is from RNAcentral.